RNAcentral lists this ribosomal RNA (784 nucleotides) under uncultured Kitasatospora sp. Its description in RNAcentral is "bacterial SSU rRNA". It matches the Rfam family "Bacterial small subunit ribosomal RNA", at positions 76 to 874 of the family's 1533-position model. The record is from RNAcentral. Lineage: Bacteria; Bacillati; Actinomycetota; Actinomycetes; Kitasatosporales; Streptomycetaceae.
CCCUUCGGGGUGGAUCAGUGGCGAACGGGUGAGUAACACGUGGGCAAUCUGCCCUGCACUCUGGGACAAGCCCUGGAAACGGGGUCUAAUACCGGAUAUUACCUUCCUCUGCAUGGGGGUUGGUGGAAAGCUCCGGCGGUGCAGGAUGAGCCCGCGGCCUAUCAGCUUGUUGGUGGGGUAAUGGCCUACCAAGGCGACGACGGGUAGCCGGCCUGAGAGGGCGACCGGCCACACUGGGACUGAGACACGGCCCAGACUCCUACGGGAGGCAGCAGUGGGGAAUAUUGCACAAUGGGCGCAAGCCUGAUGCAGCGACGCCGCGUGAGGGAUGACGGCCUUCGGGUUGUAAACCUCUUUCAGCAGGGAAGAAGCGCAAGUGACGGUACCUGCAGAAGAAGCACCGGCUAACUACGUGCCAGCAGCCGCGGUAAUACGUAGGGUGCGAGCGUUGUCCGGAAUUAUUGGGCGUAAAGAGCUCGUAGGCGGCCUGUCGCGUCGGAUGUGAAAGCCCGGGGCUUAACCCCGGGUCUGCAUUCGAUACGGGCAGGCUAGAGUGUGGUAGGGGAGAUCGGAAUUCCUGGUGUAGCGGUGAAAUGCGCAGAUAUCAGGAGGAACACCGGUGGCGAAGGCGGAUCUCUGGGCCAUUACUGACGCUGAGGAGCGAAAGCGUGGGGAGCGAACAGGAUUAGAUACCCUGGUAGUCCACGCCGUAAACGUUGGGAACUAGGUGUUGGCGACAUUCCACGUCGUCGGUGCCGCAGCUAACGCAUUAAGUUCCCCGCCU